AGUGAACGCUGGCGGUAGGCCUAACACAUGCAAGUCGAACGGCAGCACAGUAAGAGCUUGCUCUUACGGGUGGCGAGUGGCGGACGGGUGAGGAAUACAUCGGAAUCUACUUUUUCGUGGGGGGUAACGUAGGGAAACUUACGCUAAUACCGCAUACGACCUACGGGUGAAAGCAGGGGAUCUUCGGACCUUGCGCGAUUGAAUGAGCCGAUGUCGGAUUAGCUAGUUGGCGGGGUAAAGGCCCACCAAGGCGACGAUCCGUAGCUGGUCUGAGAGGAUGAUCAGCCACACUGGAACUGAGACACGGUUCAGACUCCUACGGGAGGCAGCAGUGGGGAAUAUUGGACAAUGGGCGCAAGCCUGAUCCAGCCAUACCGCGUGGGUGAAGAAGGCCUUCGGGUUGUAAAGCCCUUUUGUUGGGAAAGAAAAGCAGCAGGUUAAUACCCCGCUGUUCUGACGGUACCCAAAGAAUAAGCACCGGCUAACUUCGUG
Molecule: ribosomal RNA, 492 nt
Filed under: uncultured bacterium
Lineage: Bacteria
Description: partial 16S ribosomal RNA
Rfam family: Bacterial small subunit ribosomal RNA
Source: RNAcentral